RNAcentral lists this ribosomal RNA (982 nucleotides) under marine metagenome. Its description in RNAcentral is "bacterial SSU rRNA". It matches the Rfam family "Bacterial small subunit ribosomal RNA", at positions 358 to 1373 of the family's 1533-position model. The record is from RNAcentral.
AGAAUAUUGCACAAUGGACGAAAGUCUGAUGCAGCGACACCGCGUGAGGGAUGAAGGUUUUAGGAUUGUAAACCUCUUUUAUUAGGGAAUAGCAAGGAAGGUACCUAAUGAAUAAGCUACGGCUAACUACGUGCCAGCAGCCGCGGUAAUACGUAGGUAGCGAACGUUGUCCGGAAUCACUGGGCGUAAAGGGUCCGUAGGCGGUUUGAUAAGUCUCAUAUGAAAACUUCAAGCUCAACUUGGAGAGGUUGUGAGAUACUGUCAAACUAGAGACUGUUAGAGGUAAGUGGAAUUCCAGGUGUAGUGGUGAAAUGCGUAGAUAUCUGGAGGAACACCAGUGGCGAAAGCGACUUACUGGGACAGUUCUGACGCUAAGGGACGAAAGCGUGGGGAGCGAACCGGAUUAGAUACCCGGGUAGUCCACGCCGUAAACGAUGAUUGCUAGGUUUUCGGGGCAUCGACCCCUCGUGAGCCGAAGUUAACGCGUUAAGCAAUCCGCCUGAGUAGUACGGCCGCAAGGCUAAAACUCAAAGAAAUUGACGGGGGACCGCACAAGCAGCGGAGCGUGUGGUUUAAUUCGAUGGUAAGCGAAGAACCUUACCAGGGUUUGACAUGUAAGUAGUACUGAACCGAAAGGGGAUGGACCCGCAAGGGAGCUUACACAGGUGUUGCAUGGUUGUCGUCAGCUCGUGCCGUGAGGUGUUGGGUUAAGUCCCGCAACGAGCGCAACCCUCUUUGUUAGUUGCACUCUCUAACGAUACUGCCCUUAAAAGGGAGGAAGGUGGGGAUGACGUCAAAUCAUCAUGGCUCUUACACCCUGGGCUACACACACGCUACAAUGGCAAGUACAGACGGUUGCCAACCCGCGAGGGGGAGCUAAUCCGAUAAAACUUGUCUCAGUUGGGAUUAUAGGCUGAAAUUCGCCUAUAUGAACGUGGAGUUGCUAGUAAACGCAGGUCAGCACACUGCGUUGAAUACGUUC